CGUUGAGGCGGUUCCGUAAGUUGGACGUGAAAGCCCCUGGCCUAACUGGGGGAGGUCGUUCAAUACUGCGGAGCUUGAGGACAGCAGAGGGAGGUGGAAUUCCCGGUGUAGUGGUGAAAUGCGUAGAUAUCGGGAGGAACACCUGUGGCGAAAGCGGCCUCCUGGGCUGCUCCUGACGCUGAAGGCGAAAGCUAGGGUAGCGAACG
RNAcentral lists this ribosomal RNA (206 nucleotides) under uncultured bacterium. RNAcentral's name for it is "partial 16S ribosomal RNA". It matches the Rfam family "Bacterial small subunit ribosomal RNA", at positions 568 to 774 of the family's 1533-position model. The record is from RNAcentral.